CGUGUAGGCGGGUUAUUAAGUCAGAUGUGAAAUACCGAGGCUCAACUUCGGGGCUGCAUCUGAAACUAAUAAUCUUGAGUGCAGGAGAGGAAAGCGGAAUUCCAAGUGUAGCGGUGAAAUGCGUAGAUAUUUGGAGGAACACCAGUGGCGAAGGCGGCUUUCUGGACUGUAACUGACGCUGAGGCGCGAAAGCGUGGGGAGCAAACAGGAUUAGAUACCCUGGUAGUCCACGCCGUAAACGAUGGAUACUAGGUGUAGGAGGUAUCGACCCCUUCUGUGCCGGAGUUAACACAAUAAGUAUCCCACCUGGGAGUACGGCCGCAAGGUUGAA
Molecule: ribosomal RNA, 331 nt
Filed under: uncultured bacterium
Lineage: Bacteria
Description: bacterial SSU rRNA
Rfam family: Bacterial small subunit ribosomal RNA
Source: RNAcentral